UGGGGAAUAUUGCACAAUGGGCGCAAGCCUGAUGCAGCCAUGCCGCGUGUGUGAAGAAGGCCUUCGGGUUGUAAAGCACUUUCAGCGGGGAGGAAGGCGUUAAGGUUAAUAACCUUGGCGAUUGACGUUACCCGCAGAAGAAGCACCGGCUAACUCCGUGCCAGCAGCCGCGGUAAUACGGAGGGUGCAAGCGUUAAUCGGAAUUACUGGGCGUAAAGCGCACGCAGGCGGUCUGUCAAGUCGGAUGUGAAAUCCCCGGGCUCAACCUGGGAACUGCAUUCGAAACUGGCAGGCUAGAGUCUUGUAGAGGGGGGUAGAAUUCCAGGUGUAGCGGUGAAAUGCGUAGAGAUCUGGAGGAAUACCGGUGGCGAAUGCGGCCCCCUGGACAAAGACUGACGCUCAGGUGCGAAAGCGUGGGGAGCAAACAGG
This 429-nucleotide ribosomal RNA is filed under the name Chloroflexota bacterium. RNAcentral's name for it is "Chloroflexi bacterium partial 16S ribosomal RNA". It matches the Rfam family "Bacterial small subunit ribosomal RNA", at positions 355 to 776 of the family's 1533-position model. The record is from RNAcentral. Lineage: Bacteria; Bacillati; Chloroflexota.